This 801-nucleotide long non-coding RNA is filed under the name Neogale vison (American mink). RNAcentral's name for it is "Neovison vison (American mink) lncRNA (ENSNVIG00000001068.1)". Lineage: Eukaryota; Metazoa; Chordata; Mammalia; Carnivora; Mustelidae. The record is from RNAcentral.
UGGAAGGUGAGGGGGUGAAAGGAGAGCGGAAGUGUAGGGGUGUGAGGUGAAGAGUGAAGAGAAGCCGGAUUGUCUUCGUCCGUCCUCAGCCGGAAACACCUAAAAUGGAAAAGCUAAAACCCUCAGGUGGUGGAAAACGGGGUCCUGGUCCUGGGGGCUUGAGGCGGCUCUUUGCAGGCCAGCGAGCUGGGGAGACACGGAGCCCAUCAGAGCUCCCACCCGCUGCCCCGGCCAGUCAGCUGUGGCCAGCUGAGGUACGCUGUACUAGAGACCACAGGGCCGGACCCCCAGCCAUGAGGAUGCAGAGAGAAGGUGAGUGUAGUAGGCCCGGCUCUUCUCGAAACCUCCCAGCCCACCCGGGGACCCAUACAAAGCACAGAUGUGGAAACGAAGGCACGGGGAGGGUAGAUCCGUGUCCGCGGCUGCUGUAACACAUCACCGCAAACAUAGCACAACAGAAAUGUUUUCUCUCUGGAGUCUGCCCUUGGGGAGGCAGAGCCAUACUCCCUCCGGAGGCUGCGGUGGAGAAGCUGUUCCAUGUGCCUCUCCCAGCUUCUGGUGGCCGUCCUCGGUGGGUGGCCACAUCACUCCAGUCUUUAAGGCCGGCACCUUCAAAUCUCUCUGAGCUCUGCCUUCAUGGUACCUUCUCCCCUGGGGCACGUCAGGCUUCUCUGACAGGACAUCUGUGCUUAUGUUGAGGGCCGGCCAGAUACCCAGGAUAGACUCUGGAUUGUCAAAAUCUCUAAUUUAAUCACAUCAGCAAGGACUCUUUUUCAAAUAAAAUAACAUUUACAGUUUACA